GUAGGGAAUAUUGGGCAAUGGUCGAGAGACUGACCCAGCCAUGCCGCGUGCAGGAAGACGGCCUUAUGGGUUGUAAACUGCUUUUGUACCGGGGUAACGGCGGGCUCGUGCAGCCUGAUUGAAAGUACGGUACGAAUAAGGAUCGGCUAACUCCGUGCCAGCAGCCGCGGUAAUACGGAGGAUCCAAGCGUUAUCCGGAUUUAUUGGGUUUAAAGGGUGCGCAGGCGGAUAGGUAAGUCAGCGGUGAAAUUUCUCGGCUCAACUGAGAGACUGCCAUUGAUACUGCUUGUCUAGAUUAUAGAUGGCGUAGGCGGAAUAUGUCAAGUAGCGGUGAAAUGCGUAGAUAUGACAUAGAACACCGAUCGGGAAGCCAGCUUACGAAACUAUGAAUGACGCUCAUGCACGAAAGCGUGGGGAUCAAACAGGAUUAGAAACCCUAGUAGUCC
Molecule: ribosomal RNA, 446 nt
Filed under: uncultured bacterium
Lineage: Bacteria
Description: bacterial SSU rRNA
Rfam family: Bacterial small subunit ribosomal RNA
Source: RNAcentral